Molecule: unclassified non-coding RNA, 329 nt
Filed under: soil metagenome
Description: partial contains 5.8S ribosomal RNA, internal transcribed spacer 2, and large subunit ribosomal RNA
Rfam family: 5.8S ribosomal RNA (bases 1-120)
Source: RNAcentral
GAUGAAGAACGUAGCGAAAUGCGAUAAGUAAUGUGAAUUGCAGAAUUCAGUGAAUCAUCGAAUCUUUGAACGCACAUUGCGCCCUCUGGUAUUCCGGGGGGCAUGCCUGUUCGAGCGUCAUUAUAACCACUCAAGCUCUCGCUUGGUAUUGGGGUUCGCGGUUUCGCGGCACCUAAAAUCAGUGGCGGUGCCUGUCGGCUCUACGCGUAGUAAUACUUCUCGCGAUUGAGUUCGAUAGGUCUACUUGCCAGUAACCCCCAAUUUUUACAGGUUGACCUCGGAUCAGGUAGGGAUACCCGCUGAACUUAAGCAUAUCAAUAAGCGGAGGA